This 944-nucleotide ribosomal RNA is filed under the name uncultured organism. Its description in RNAcentral is "bacterial SSU rRNA". It matches the Rfam family "Bacterial small subunit ribosomal RNA", at positions 469 to 1411 of the family's 1533-position model. The record is from RNAcentral.
UUGACGGUACCCUACUAGAAAGGAGCCGCUAACUUCGUGCCAGAAGCGUCGGUAAUACGGGGGCUCCAAGCGUUAUCCGGUGUUAUUGGGCGUAAAGAGUCGUGUAGGUGGUUGGGUAAGUUAUCUUUCAAAUAUCUUUGCUUAACAAAGAGGAGGGGGAUAAUACUGCUCGACUAGAAUUUCCUCAAGGGAGAUCGGAACUGAGGGAGGAGUAGUGAAAUGCGUUGAUACCCUCGGGAACACCAGUGGCGUAGGCGGAUCUCUGGGAGAAGAUUGACACUGAGACACGAAAGCUAGGGGAACGAAGCAGAUUAGAGACCUGCGUAGUCCUAGCCGUAAACGCAUGCUUGCUAGCUGCAUGAAUCUACCUUCGGGUGGUAUCGUGUGGCGAAGGUAACCCGUUAAGCAAGCCGCCUGGAAAGUACGGCCGCAAGGCUGAAAUUCAAAGGAAUUGGCGGGGAGGCACACAACCAGUGGAACAUGUGGUUUAAUUCGAGACUAACCGAAGAACCUCACCAGGGUUUGACAUGUAGCUGCACGUCUUAAGAAAUUAAGACUCUCUUGAAGGUGCUACACAGGUGCUGCAUGGCUGUCGUCAGCUCGUUCCGUGAGGAGUGCCCUUAAGUGGGACAACGAGCGCAACCCCUAUUACAUGUUAGAAAUGUCAUGUAAGACUGCCUUGCCAUUUGGCGGGGAGGAAGGAGGGGCAGACGUCAAGUCCGCAUGGUCCUUAUGCCCUGGGCUACACACAUGUUACAAUGAGUACGGCAAUGAGUCUGUCGCGAGCACGUAAGUGUAAGCUAAUCUCUUAAAUGUACUCUCAGUGGGGAUUGAGGUCUGCAACUCGACCUCAUGAACACGGAAUUGGUAGUACUCGCGGGUCAGCUAUACCGCGGUGAUACGUUCUUGCCUCUUGCACACACCGCCCGUCAAACCAGCAAAGU